AUACUUACCUGGCAGGGGAGAUACCAUGAUCACGAAGGUGGUUUUCCCAGGGCGAGGCUUAUCCAUUGCAUUCCAGAUGUGCCGACCCCUGCGAUUUCCCCAAACGUGGGAAACCUAACUGCAUAAUUUGUUGUAGUGGGGGACUGCGUUCGUGCUCUCCCCUG
Molecule: small nuclear RNA, 164 nt
Filed under: Castor canadensis (American beaver)
Lineage: Eukaryota; Metazoa; Chordata; Mammalia; Rodentia; Castoridae
Description: U1 spliceosomal RNA (ENSCCNG00000030033.1)
Rfam family: U1 spliceosomal RNA
About the family: U1 is a small nuclear RNA (snRNA) component of the spliceosome (involved in pre-mRNA splicing). Its 5' end forms complementary base pairs with the 5' splice junction, thus defining the 5' donor site of an intron. There are significant differences in sequence and secondary structure between metazoan and yeast U1 snRNAs, the latter being much longer (568 nucleotides as compared to 164 nucleotides in human).
Source: Rfam by way of RNAcentral